AGUGAAACUCUGUCUCAAAUAAAUAAAUAAAUAAAUAUAAAAGAAGACAAAUAUUCAAACUAGAAAUUAUUUGUUAAUACUUAUUGUUAAUUUACUUCUUAAUCUGCCUUGCAUUUUUUUUUUCUCUGUAGAAAACUCAAAAUAAUGUAUUAUAGGCACUUGUAAUUAUAAAGUUAAUUAUGGGAGAGAGACAAGGUAGAUAGGAAUUGGAGAAUAUCAGGCCUGGAAGUGUCAAAGGCAGUAUCGUCCAACUCAUCAUUUAAUAAAUGGGAACAUUAAAGAGCACAAAGUCAAAUUGUUGUCCAAGACCACAAAGAGCCUGGAGAGAACCAGGACUCCACGCCCCUUGGCUGAGUGUUCCUUCUUCGCCGUACUUCCAUCUCUCUAGAGUCACACCUAUGGUUGAUUUUAUGAUGCUGAUAAUGAUCAAGAGGAGGAAAGAGGAGAGAAAUGGUCCCAUAAUUUUGGCCUUAUUUGCAGGAAUUGGAAAAUUUCUCCCACAGCCAGACACACUCAAUUGGUUAGUUUUCUUCAAAACCCUGCCCACAGCAGCAUUCUGAUCAACAUCCAUCACUUUCCUUCCCAGGAUUCCAGAGGAGAUCCAGGUGGUGAUCAAAGAGGAGACCCUGUUGGCAAAGCUCCCUUCUGGCACUGAUGAACUGGAUGUAAGGUCUAUCUCUUGUCCCUCUGAAUGAUAACAAAAAUAUGCUUACCUAAAGUUGCUCCCUGGAUCUCAACAGAAACUUCAUAACUGGUCAUUGCUUCCAGAAAACCUUCCUACCAUUCAGGCUUACACAUAGCUGGCCACUCAGCUAAGACAAGUAAUGGGCUGAGAAAAAUCAAAUAAAAGUGUGUGGUUUUGAUAUAUGCAUUUUAUUACUGGCAUUAGUCAAGUAAUCAUGGGCCAGUGAAUUUUCAAAGCAGCCUUUUAAUACUCAAGCACAGUGCAGAGUAAGAAGGAUGAGAAUAUGACCUUUUCAAAGCCCCAUUUUUCUUAGGCCUUUUAGUAACUCCAUGGCCCCAACUCUGGAAUCUGAAGACUUAAUCUUAAAAGAUUAUGUGGGAAGAGGCAGCAAGGUGUAGAUAAAAACAUGCUGAGCCUAAAGUCGAAAAACUGGAGACUAUAUUUUGAUGGUAAAUAUCAGAUGUAUGACCCUGGCAAGGCAUUUGACUUUCUGGCCCUGGUUUCCUCCAUGAAAAACUGGGAUAAUAUUCAUAUUUGUCAUUUGUAACUACUACUGUGUUGUUCAAAGAUAAACAGAAAGGGUAUAAGAUAUUCGAAUAUUAUUAUUUUCAUUAAUUAUAAUUAUAGUAUUAGUGCUCAAUUGCAUUAGGCUUCUCCUUAAAACAAAAUUGCUUGUAUGUCUGAAUGGAUCAGGAAAAGAAGAUGGGAGGGGCAAAAAAAGGAAAGUCACUCUUUUCCUGGAAAGCGUUGUUGUUUAAUUCUUUUCUUGGAGUAAAAAAUCCCAGCCACGCCGUAGGGAACAGAACAUAGGCUUCUCUUUGAUGUCACCCCUCACCCAAUAGUAUCACUUCCCUUUUUUCACCAACCGCUUCAAAGAUCUUACGUCUGGGCUUCUGUAGUGACCACGCCAAACAUUUAAAUCCCCCACUUAAACAAGUACCAGAGACGAAACAACCAAAAGAAAGACAAAGCAAGAGGAGAGAGGGUAGAAAGAGAACAAUACAAUCGUGUUCUUUGAAAGGAUGAUGGUUAAUAAGACUUACUUUAGUUUAGAGCCAAAUAGUUUUCUUCCAACAGAGACGGUCAUAGCAAACCCAGACAGGAGCGGGCAGGAGCAGAGACGUGAGCCCUGCUCUCUAACUAGUGGUAUUAUCACCCAUUUGUGGCUCCUGAGAGAGAACAGCGGGGCAAGCCAGGCCUUAGCACUGUGCCUUGCAUUAAUUAACAAGCACGGACCUGGCCUUUCAGGUACACCAGGGAUGGGCCUCUCUCCCUCGUCUUAGGUUCUGCCGGAAGCCAGGGUGAGUCCUGUACAGAUUCUGAACCCUUCUUUAUGUGCACAGACCCAACUCUCACGCCUACCGAUGUUGGUCUGUGCUACUCCUUCAUCCAGGCAGCAAAUCAGCACGGACCCAGGGUAAGUCAUAGAAAUCAGGAAAAUGAGGUAGUUACAGAGCCUGCUAAGGAGCCCAAGAAGUGAGAGUUAGGGCAGAAAGCCUCUUCAGUCACUCCUUCACCAGGCCAUUCUUUUAUUCCUGAGUCACCCUCCACACCCCAGCGUUCAAACUGAGACCCAUCACUCUUACCAGGUAUGGACAGAUGCUGCAAAUGCUGCCUUUUGUACGACUAUGGCAAUUUGACACGAUGUUCUUCCUGUUGUGUUUGAAAUCUCCCCAUGCACUUCCUUUCAAGUGGUUAUUUCUUAGCUGGAUCGAGGAAAGACCAGCCUUGCAUAAGACAAAGCCAGUGAUCAUUAGCCAGCAUGGAGCCGUGAGCAGUGCAUGCGUAGUUAUACUAAUUGGUUGAUUGAUGCAGGUUCUGUUGGAAAAUACUGCAUUUUAAGGAAGUGCAACCUUUUAACUUCUGACAUGGAGUAGGCAGCAUGCCAAGAGAAGGACUGGACUAGUCAUAGAACAAUCCGUUGAGCCGUGGGCACUGAAUUGAGCACAAAAUAAGCAGGGUUCACAGAUUCGCAGAGGACCCAAGGAGAAGAGAGCCAGCAGGUAAUUGUCAG
Molecule: long non-coding RNA, 2699 nt
Filed under: Homo sapiens (human)
Lineage: Eukaryota; Metazoa; Chordata; Mammalia; Primates; Hominidae
Description: long non-coding RNA NONHSAT195109.1
Source: RNAcentral